CCACCGCAGGGCCUUUACACUUGCUGCAUCUCUAUUGUCCUUACCUAGGGUAAUUUUUCUCUAGAGCACAGGCCUCAUGGAACAUACUCCAGGCGCUGCAGGUGAUUCAACCGCCUCUUUUGUGCAGGAUGACCGCCAGUCUGGGUUUCUGGGGCCAGGUACCCUCGGGAGACACUGUUGGCCCUACCAUGUUCCACGCCGGCGCACUGUCCACUUGUUCAGUGUGCCUUGUCGAGUCUGCCAGGCCCACCUGAACAAUGCAGCCCACUCCCUGUGGGCCGGCUGCUCCUGCUUGCUGGCUGAGGCCCUCCCUAGGUUGAUGCCACCUCCAUGCCAGUCACCAGCGUUAUUAUCAUCAGGUCCAUGCUCAUCUUUGA
RNAcentral lists this long non-coding RNA (377 nucleotides) under Homo sapiens (human). Its description in RNAcentral is "HSALNT0098690". Lineage: Eukaryota; Metazoa; Chordata; Mammalia; Primates; Hominidae. The record is from RNAcentral.